RNAcentral lists this ribosomal RNA (500 nucleotides) under uncultured bacterium. RNAcentral describes it as "partial 16S ribosomal RNA". It matches the Rfam family "Bacterial small subunit ribosomal RNA", at positions 30 to 523 of the family's 1533-position model. The record is from RNAcentral.
AUUGAACGCUGGCGGCAUGCCUUACACAUGCAAGUCGAACGGCAGCACGGGAGCAAUCCUGGUGGCGAGUGGCGAACGGGUGAGUAAAGUAUCGGAACGUGCCCAGUCGUGGGGGAUAACGUAGCGAAAGUUACGCUAAUACCGCAUACGAUCUAUGGAUGAAAGCGGGGGAUCGCAAGACCUCGCGCGAUUGGAGCGGCCGAUAUCAGAUUAGGUAGUUGGUGGGGUAAAGGCUCACCAAGCCGACGAUCUGUAGCUGGUCUGAGAGGACGACCAGCCACACUGGGACUGAGACAUGGCCCAGACUCCUACGGGAGGCAGCAGUGGGGAAUUUUGGACAAUGGGCGAAAGCCUGAUCCAGCCAUGCCGCGUGCAGGAUGAAGGCCUUCGGGUUGUAAACUGCUUUUGUACGGAACGAAAAGGUUUGGCCUAAUAAGCUGAGCUCAUGACGGUACCGUAAGAAUGAGCACCGGCUAACUACGUGCCAGCAGCCGCCGUAA